GGGCCAAAGAGGGGGACCUUCGGGCCUCUCGCGUCAGGAUAUGCCUAGGUGGGAUUAGCUAGUUGGUGAGGUAAGGGCUCACCAAGGCGACGAUCCCUAGCUGGUCUGAGAGGAUGAUCAGCCACACUGGAACUGAGACACGGUCCAGACUCCUACGGGAGGCAGCAGUGGGGAAUAUUGCACAAUGGGCGCAAGCCUGAUGCAGCCAUGCCGCGUGUGUGAAGAAGGCCUUCGGGUUGUAAAGCACUUUCAGUCGUGAGGAAGG
Molecule: ribosomal RNA, 265 nt
Filed under: Vibrio parahaemolyticus
Lineage: Bacteria; Pseudomonadati; Pseudomonadota; Gammaproteobacteria; Vibrionales; Vibrionaceae
Description: partial 16S ribosomal RNA
Rfam family: Bacterial small subunit ribosomal RNA
Source: RNAcentral